CGCAGGAAUACAGUCCACCAUUAAGACGGUGACUCAUGUACUUGGACCAAACAUAAAGAAGGUCUUGACUUUCAUACCUGGAGCCAGAAAAUGUAUGGAAUUUUGAAUCUCAUUUCUGGACCUGCUUGCAGGCGUGAUUGUGACAUAUACCUUGGUCCAGCACCUGAGUGAUUUGACUAUCCUGCCUGGGUAAAGCCUCAAAAUGGAAUUGUGACACAUGCCUGGUGCAAGCAUCUAAGGUGUGAUUGUGGCAUAUGUCUUUGCCCAUACCCUGAGUGAUUUUAGUUUCCUGCCUGAGCCCAGCCCAUAGAUGGAAUUGUGACAUAUACCAAGGCCAAGCACCAAGGCCUUGCCUACAAGAAAGAUUGUGUCAUAUCACUGAGCCCAGCACCUAUGUGAUGUACUUCUUCUGCCAUAGUUCUCCCCACAUAAGACACUGUGACAUAUUUCUGGGCCAAUUACAUAAGUUAAAUGAGUCUUUGCUUAUGCCUGGAUCUCACCCUCAGAAGAACUUAUGACAUGUUGCUGGACCCAGCACCUAGCUACAGGUGGGAUUGUGACAUAUGCCUGGGACGUGGUCACUGGUACAAUGAUGACACCCACAAACUUCAACCCACAAACCAGGAGAAAUAUUGAUUCUGUCUGCUAGGCUUUGGGCAACAGAUCAACUUGUAACUGCUCCUAAUCAAAGUGUAGAUGACAGGCAACUUGAAGGUUUGCUCCCAGGUUACAAUCCUCAAGCUUUGCCCAAAUAAACGGUCUACUU
This 766-nucleotide long non-coding RNA is filed under the name Homo sapiens (human). Its description in RNAcentral is "HSALNT0396769". The record is from RNAcentral. Lineage: Eukaryota; Metazoa; Chordata; Mammalia; Primates; Hominidae.